Molecule: ribosomal RNA, 515 nt
Filed under: uncultured bacterium
Lineage: Bacteria
Description: partial 16S ribosomal RNA
Rfam family: Bacterial small subunit ribosomal RNA
Source: RNAcentral
GAUGAACGCUGGCGGCGUGCCUAAUACAUGCAAGUCGAGCGAAUGGAUUAAGAGCUUGCUCUUAUGAAGUUAGCGGCGGACGGGUGAGUAACACGUGGGUAACCUGCCCAUAAGACUGGGAUAACUCCGGGAAACCGGGGCUAAUACCGGAUAACAUUUUGAACCGCAUGGUUCGAAAUUGAAAGGCGGCUUCGGCUGUCACUUAUGGAUGGACCCGCGUCGCAUUAGCUAGUUGGUGAGGUAGUGGCUCACCAAGGCAACGAUGCGUAGCCGACCUGGGAGGGCGAUCGGCCACACUGGGACUGAGACACGGCCCAGACUCCUACGGGAGGCAGCAGUAGGGAAUCUUCCGCAAUGGACGAAAGUCUGACGGAGCAACGCCGCGUGAGUGAUGAAGGCUUUCGGGUCGUAAAACUCUGUUGUUAGGGAAGAACAAGUGCUAGUUGAAUAAGCUGGCACCUUGACGGUACCUAACCAGAAAGCCACGGCUAACUACGUGCCAGCAGCCGCCGUAA